AGAGUUUGAUCCUGGCUCAGGAUGAACGCUGGCGGCGUGCCUAAUACAUGCAAGUCGAGCGAACCAUUUCGGUGGUGAGCGGCGAACGGGUGAGUAACACGUAGGUAAUCUGCCCAUCAGACGGGGACAACGAUUGGAAACGAUCGCUAAUACCGGAUAGGACGAAAGUUUAAAGAUGCUUCGGCAUCACUGAUGGAUGAGCCUGCGGCGCAUUAGCUAGUUGGAGAGGUAAGAGCUCCCCAAGGCGACGAUGCGUAGCCGACCUGAGAGGGUGAACGG
Molecule: ribosomal RNA, 279 nt
Filed under: uncultured Turicibacter sp.
Lineage: Bacteria; Bacillati; Bacillota; Erysipelotrichia; Erysipelotrichales; Turicibacteraceae
Description: partial 16S ribosomal RNA
Rfam family: Bacterial small subunit ribosomal RNA
Source: RNAcentral